GACAGAGGGUGCGAGCGUUGUUCGGAAUCACUGGGCGUAAAGCGCGCGCAGGCGGCGCGUCAAGUCGGGAGUGAAAUGCCGGGGCUCAACCCCGGACCUGCUUCCGAAACUGGCGUGCUGGAGACUGGUAGAGGCUGGUAGAAUUCCCGGUGUAGCGGUGGAAUGCGUAGAGAUCGGGAAGAAUACCCGUGGCGAAGGCGGCCAGCUGGGCCAGUUCUGACGCUGAGGCGCGAAAGCGUGGGGAGCAAAC
Molecule: ribosomal RNA, 250 nt
Filed under: uncultured bacterium
Lineage: Bacteria
Description: partial 16S ribosomal RNA
Rfam family: Bacterial small subunit ribosomal RNA
Source: RNAcentral